CCUACGGGUGGCAGCAGUGAGGAAUAUUGGUCAAUGGACGCAAGCCUGAACCAGCCAUGCCGCGUGCAGGAAGACGGCUCUAUGAGUUGUAAACUGCUUUUGUACGGGGGUAAACGCUGAGACGCGUAUCUUUUUGAAAGUAUCGUACGAAUAAGGAUCGGCUAACUCCGUGCCAGCAGCCGCGGUAAUACGGAGGUGUCAAGCGUUAUCCGGAUUUAUUGGGUUUAAAGGGAGCGUAGGCGGGCGGAUAAGUCAGAGGUGAAAUCCCGGGGCUCAACCUCGGAAUUGCAUUUGAUACUGUUCGGCUAGAGGAUAGGUGCGGUAGGCGGAAUGUAUGGUGUAGCGGUGAAAUGCGUAGAGAUCA
This 364-nucleotide ribosomal RNA is filed under the name uncultured bacterium. Its description in RNAcentral is "partial 16S ribosomal RNA". It matches the Rfam family "Bacterial small subunit ribosomal RNA", at positions 338 to 699 of the family's 1533-position model. The record is from RNAcentral.